UACGAAGGGGGCUAGCGUUGCUCGGAAUUACUGGGCGUAAAGGGCGCGUAGGCGGGUUGCUUAGUUAGAGGUGAAAGCCCAGGGCUCAACCCUGGAAUUGCCUUUAAUACUGGCAGCCUUGAGUAUGGCAGAGGUGUGUGGAACUCCGAGUGUAGAGGUGAAAUUCGUAGAUAUUCGGAAGAACACCAGUGGCGAAGGCGACACACUGGGCCAUUACUGACGCUGAGGCGCGAAAGCGUGGGGAGCAAACAGG
This 253-nucleotide ribosomal RNA is filed under the name uncultured bacterium. RNAcentral describes it as "partial 16S ribosomal RNA". It matches the Rfam family "Bacterial small subunit ribosomal RNA", at positions 524 to 776 of the family's 1533-position model. The record is from RNAcentral.